This 497-nucleotide ribosomal RNA is filed under the name uncultured bacterium. Its description in RNAcentral is "partial 16S ribosomal RNA". It matches the Rfam family "Bacterial small subunit ribosomal RNA", at positions 28 to 507 of the family's 1533-position model. The record is from RNAcentral.
GAUGAACGCUGGCGGCGUGCCUAAUACAUGCAAGUCGAGCGAACAGACGAGGAGCUUGCUCCUUUGACGUUAGCGGCGGACGGGUGAGUAACACGUGGGUAACCUACCUAUAAGACUGGGAUAACUUCGGGAAACCGGAGCUAAUACCGGAUAAUAUUUCGAACCGCAUGGUUCGAUAGUGAAAGAUGGCUUUGCUAUCACUUAUAGAUGGACCUGCGCCGUAUUAGCUAGUUGGUAAGGUAACGGCUUACCAAGGCAACGAUACGUAGCCGACCUGAGAGGGUGAUCGGCCACACUGGAACUGAGACACGGUCCAGACUCCUACGGGAGGCAGCAGUAGGGAAUCUUCCGCAAUGGGCGAAAGCCUGACGGAGCAACGCCGCGUGAGUGAAGAAGGUCUUCGGAUCGUAAAACUCUGUUAUUAGGGAAGAAUAAUCGUGUAAGUAACUGUGCACGUCUUGACGGUACCUAAUCAGAAAGCAACGGCUAACUACGUG